RNAcentral lists this long non-coding RNA (1244 nucleotides) under Capra hircus (goat). Its description in RNAcentral is "lncRNA (ENSCHIG00010026869.1)". Lineage: Eukaryota; Metazoa; Chordata; Mammalia; Artiodactyla; Bovidae. The record is from RNAcentral.
AGGCUACAGUCCAUGGGGUCUCAAGAGUUGGACAUGACUGAGGGACAGCACGUACACAUACCUCUCAAAUUAAGCACCCAGUAACAGACCAGACGCAAACGGCAUCUGAUUAAGACAGAAUUCACACAGAUGUAGAAAAAAUAUUGUCAGUACACUCUUAAAUCCAGAUAACUAGAAUAAUGGAUGGAAACAAAAACAUUAGAAAUUCAAGCAAAACAUAAGACUAACAUAGUUCAGAGUUAAUCCUUGCUUUAGGAGUAUGAUGGUCAGAGCCAUGAGGAAAUGAGAUUAUAAAGUCGGAAGUCAGAAUAAAUGGUUCUCUUAAUAUUGUUUUCAGAAUGAGUCAGAACAAUUAAGGGGCCAGUGGCACAAUGGAUAAGACCACAGAAUGAGUCAGAACGUCCUAGUCAUAAAGUUUUCCACUUGCAGGCAACUAGAUUGAAUCAAGUCCUGAUGGUGACUGGUUUCUGAUCAGUUGCUAGGACAACUUAGAGCAUCCUAGUACAGAAUGAUGGGCUAUCGGCCGCGGAAACAUCUCCAUUUCUUCAAAUACCUGCUUCCCAAAGAUUUUGAUCCUCAAAAAGGAAUCUGGCCAAAGGAAAAUGAGACAGUUCUGGAGAUGCUGGUGUCAGAGCAAGAGGCAUGAGACUCAGGGGACAGGUGAGGAGACCAUGACUUCUGGUUGCUCAUCAACAUCUUCUUUGUCUAAGUAACUAGACAGUACUUUAGAAUUUCAGAGAAAUGAGAUAGAAAUAGACAACCUGCAAUGGAAAAUAUAAAAAUCAGUGUUUUCUAACAAGUGAAAUUGUAUUCAGUAAAAUUAAUAGUUAAGUAAAAUUUCAUAAAACAAAAGGCUUUUUGUUUUCUCCUGUUUGUUUAUGCUUUUGAUGCCAUUUUGCUGGAGUGUGUUCAGAAAAUAAUUGAAGUCUAAAUCAAGGAGUACAAAAGCACUCAUGAAACACAGGCACUAGAAAAAAUAAUUCUGCUAAAUAGCCUAGAAACGGCUGUGGAUUUAAUUCUCCUAAAUGUGGUUAAAAAUAACCACAAACCGCAGCAUAAGGCAGAAUGGCAUCAGUGCAGGGAUUAGCAAUCCUGGGUGGUUUGGCCACGUUUGGUGUAGCCUACCUGCAUCUCUGGUCCUUGCAGUCUCUGGGCACUAGAGUCAUCCAAAGAUGGUAGGGACUUUAAUAAUUAUGAGGCUGUUGCUGCUGCUGCUGCUGCUGCUGCUGAUAGUGAUGGCUCAC